UAGUCCACGCUGUAAACGAUGUCGAUUUGGAGGUUGUGCCCUUGAGGCGUGGCUUCCGGAGCUAACGCGUUAAAUCGACCGCCUGGGGAGUACGGCCGCAAGGUUAAAACUCAAAUGAAUUGACGGGGGCCCGCACAAGCGGUGGAGCAUGUGGUUUAAUUCGAUGCAACGCGAAGAACCUUACCUACUCUUGACAUCCAGAGAACUUAGCAGAGAUGCUUUGGUGCCUUCGGGAACUCUGAGACAGGUGCUGCAUGGCUGUCGUCAGCUCGUGUUGUGAAAUGUUGGGUUAAGUCCCGCAACGAGCGCAACCCUUAUCCUUUGUUGCCAGCGGUUCGGCCGGGAACUCAAAGGAGACUGCCAGUGAUAAACUGGAGGAAGGUGGGGAUGACGUCAAGUCAUCAUGGCCCUUACGAGUAGGGCUACACACGUGCUACAAUGGCAUAUACAAAGAGAAGCGACCUCGCGAGAGCAAGCGGACCUCAUAAAGUAUGUCGUAGUCCGGAUUGGAGUCUGCAACUCGACUCCAUGAAGUCGGAAUCGCUAGUAAUCGUAGAUCAGAAUGCUACGGUGAAUACGUUCCCGGGCCUUGUACACACCGCCCGUCACACCAUGGGAGUGGGUUGCAAAAGAAGUAGGUAGCUUAACCUUCGGGAGGGCGCUUACCACUUUGUGAUUCAUGACUGG
RNAcentral lists this ribosomal RNA (687 nucleotides) under uncultured Serratia sp. RNAcentral describes it as "bacterial SSU rRNA". It matches the Rfam family "Bacterial small subunit ribosomal RNA", at positions 791 to 1478 of the family's 1533-position model. The record is from RNAcentral. Lineage: Bacteria; Pseudomonadati; Pseudomonadota; Gammaproteobacteria; Enterobacterales; Yersiniaceae.